GGGUUGUGAGGUUAAGCGACUAAGCGUACACGGUGGAUGCCCUGGCAGUCAGAGGCGAUGAAGGACGUGCUAAUCUGCGAUAAGCGCCGGUAAGGUGAUAUGAACCGUUAUAACCGGCGAUUUCCGAAUGGGGAAACCCAGUGUGACUCGUCACACUAUCAUUAACUGAAUCCAUAGGUUAAUGAGGCGAACCGGGGGAACUGAAACAUCUAAGUACCCCGAGGAAAAGAAAUCAACCGAGAUUCCCCCAGUAGCGGCGAGCGAACGGGGAGGAGCCCAGAGCCUGAAUCAGCAUGUGUGUUAGUGGAAGCGUCUGGAAAGGCGCGCGAUACAGGGUGACAGCCCCGUACACAAAAGCGCAUGUGCUGUGAGCUCGAUGAGUAGGGCGGGACACGUGGUAUCCUGUCUGAAUAUGGGGGGACCAUCCUCCAAGGCUAAAUACUCCUGACUGACCGAUAGUGAACCAGUACCGUGAGGGAAAGGCGAAAAGAACCCCGGCGAGGGGAGUGAAAAAGAACCUGAAACCGUGUACGUACAAGCAGUGGGAGCACCCUUUGGGGUGUGACUGCGUACCUUUUGUAUAAUGGGUCAGCGACUUAUAUUCUGUAGCAAGGUUAACCGUAUAGGGGAGCCGCAGGGAAACCGAGUCUUAACCGGGCGUUAAGUUGCAGGGUAUAGACCCGAAACCCGGUGAUCUAGCCAUGGGCAGGUUGAAGGUUGGGUAACACUAACUGGAGGACCGAACCGACUAAUGUUGAAAAAUUAGCGGAUGACCUGUGGCUGGGGGUGAAAGGCCAAUCAAACCGGGAGAUAGCUGGUUCUCCCCGAAAGCUAUUUAGGUAGCGCCUCGUGAAUUCAUCUCCGGGGGUAGAGCACUGUUUCGGCUAGGGGGCCAUCCCGGCUUACCAACCCGAUGCAAACUGCGAAUACCGGAGAAUGUUAUCACGGGAGACACACGGCGGGUGCUAACGUCCGUCGUGAAGAGGGAAACAACCCAGACCGCCAGCUAAGGUCCCAAAGUCAUGGUUAAGUGGGAAACGAUGUGGGAAGGCCCAGACAGCCAGGAUGUUGGCUUAGAAGCAGCCAUCAUUUAAAGAAAGCGUAAUAGCUCACUGGUCGAGUCGGCCUGCGCGGAAGAUGUAACGGGGCUAAACCAUGCACCGAAGCUGCGGCAGCGACACUGUGUGUUGUUGGGUAGGGGAGCGUUCUGUAAGCCUGCGAAGGUGGCCUGUGAGGGUUGCUGGAGGUAUCAGAAGUGCGAAUGCUGACAUAAGUAACGAUAAAGCGGGUGAAAAGCCCGCUCGCCGGAAGACCAAGGGUUCCUGUCCAACGUUAAUCGGGGCAGGGUGAGUCGACCCCUAAGGCGAGGCCGAAAGGCGUAGUCGAUGGGAAACGGGUUAAUAUUCCCGUACUUGGUGUUACUGCGAAGGGGGGACGGAGAAGGCUAUGUUGGCCGGGCGACGGUUGUCCCGGUUUAAGCGUGUAGGUGUGUGUUCCAGGUAAAUCCGGUUCACUUUAACACUGAGGCGUGACGACGAGGCACUACGGUGCUGAAGCAACAAAUGCCCUGCUUCCAGGAAAAGCCUCUAAGCAUCAGGUAACAUCAAAUCGUACCCCAAACCGACACAGGUGGUCAGGUAGAGAAUACCAAGGCGCUUGAGAGAACUCGGGUGAAGGAACUAGGCAAAAUGGUGCCGUAACUUCGGGAGAAGGCACGCUGACACGUAGGUGAAGUGAUUUACUCAUGGAGCUGAAGUCAGUCGAAGAUACCAGCUGGCUGCAACUGUUUAUUAAAAACACAGCACUGUGCAAACACGAAAGUGGACGUAUACGGUGUGACGCCUGCCCGGUGCCGGAAGGUUAAUUGAUGGGGUCAGCGCAAGCGAAGCUCCUGAUCGAAGCCCCGGUAAACGGCGGCCGUAACUAUAACGGUCCUAAGGUAGCGAAAUUCCUUGUCGGGUAAGUUCCGACCUGCACGAAUGGCGUAAUGAUGGCCAGGCUGUCUCCACCCGAGACUCAGUGAAAUUGAACUCGCUGUGAAGAUGCAGUGUACCCGCGGCAAGACGGAAAGACCCCGUGAACCUUUACUAUAGCUUGACACUGAACAUUGAGCCUUGAUGUGUAGGAUAGGUGGGAGGCUUUGAAGUGUGGACGCCAGUCUGCAUGGAGCCGACCUUGAAAUACCACCCUUUAAUGUUUGAUGUUCUAACGUGGACCCGUAAUCCGGGUUGCGGACAGUGUCUGGUGGGUAGUUUGACUGGGGCGGUCUCCUCCUAAAGAGUAACGGAGGAGCACGAAGGUUGGCUAAUCCUGGUCGGACAUCAGGAGGUUAGUGCAAUGGCAUAAGCCAGCUUGACUGCGAGCGUGACGGCGCGAGCAGGUGCGAAAGCAGGUCAUAGUGAUCCGGUGGUUCUGAAUGGAAGGGCCAUCGCUCAACGGAUAAAAGGUACUCCGGGGAUAACAGGCUGAUACCGCCCAAGAGUUCAUAUCGACGGCGGUGUUUGGCACCUCGAUGUCGGCUCAUCACAUCCUGGGGCUGAAGUAGGUCCCAAGGGUAUGGCUGUUCGCCAUUUAAAGUGGUACGCGAGCUGGGUUUAGAACGUCGUGAGACAGUUCGGUCCCUAUCUGCCGUGGGCGCUGGAGAACUGAGGGGGGCUGCUCCUAGUACGAGAGGACCGGAGUGGACGCAUCACUGGUGUUCGGGUUGUCAUGCCAAUGGCACUGCCCGGUAGCUAAAUGCGGAAGAGAUAAGUGCUGAAAGCAUCUAAGCACGAAACUUGCCCCGAGAUGAGUUCUCCCUGAGACUUAGAGUCUCCUGAAGGAACGUUGAAGACGACGACGUUGAUAGGCCGGGUGUGUAAGCGCAGCGAUGCGUUGAGCUAACCGGUACUAAUGAACCGUGAGGCUUAACCUUACAACGCCAAAG
This 2926-nucleotide ribosomal RNA is filed under the name Salmonella enterica subsp. enterica serovar Senftenberg. RNAcentral describes it as "bacterial LSU rRNA". It matches the Rfam family "Bacterial large subunit ribosomal RNA". The record is from RNAcentral. Lineage: Bacteria; Pseudomonadati; Pseudomonadota; Gammaproteobacteria; Enterobacterales; Enterobacteriaceae.